GCCCCCAUGCCUGAAGGCAGCCUGCAUCCAUUCAGGCAUGACCAGGAAGGAGCGGGACUCUGCCCUGAAAAAGGUGAGGGAGGGGCCUUACACAGCAAGAUGGGUAGGGACAGAAGGCAGGCCCUCGAUGAUGCUCCUGACCUUGCCGUCCUCAGGUUCAGGCGGCCCAGGUGCACGUUCUGAUGCUGUCACCCGAGGCACUGGUUGGGGCUGCGGCAGGGACCCCUGGCUCCCUCCCUCAGCUGCCUCCCGUUGCCUUUGCCUGUGUCGACGAGGCCCACUGCCUGUCCCAAUGGUCCCACAACUUCCGGCCCUGCUACCUGCGUGUCUGCAAGGUGAGCCUUCUUUGGGGUACAAGCGAAGGGGCAAGGCAGGGUGGGUGGGGCACCUUCACUGGCUCCUCUCCCACACAGGUGCUGCGGGAACACAUGGGUGUCCGCUGCUUUCUGGGUCUUACGGCCACGGCUACGCACAGCACCUCAAGAGACAUGGCUCAGCAUCUAGGCGUGGCUGAGGAGCAUGUCCUCAGAGGGCCAGUCACCAUCCCCACCAACCUGUACCUCUCUGUGUCCACGGACAGGAACCCAGACCAGGUGAGUGGACACACCGGGGCCUGGCAGAGGCACUGCCUCUGACAGCCCGUGCUGACCGCUGUCGCCCACCAGGCUUUGGUGACACUGCUGCAGAGUGAUCGUUUUCGCGACCUGAACUCUGUCAUCGUCUACUGCAACAGACGCGAAGACACGGAGCGCAUUGCUGCGCUGCUCCGCACCUGCCUGUGUGAGGCCUGGGACCUGGGGCCUAGAGGGGAGGUCAGCAGGGCUGUGCCCCACGGACCUGCCACAGGAACACGUUCUACCCAACUGUCUGUGUCUUCUCUGCAGGCCAGGCCCCGGAAGCUGUGGCCGAAGCCUACCACGCCGGCAUGUGUGCCCGGGAGCGGCGGCGGGUGCAGCAGGCCUUCAUGGAGGGCCGGCUGCGGGUGGUGGUGGCCACAGUGGCCUUCGGGAUGGGGCUGGACCGGCCAGAUGUGCGGGCCGUGCUGCACCUGGGGCUGCCCCCCAGCUUUGAGAGCUACGUGCAGGCUGUGGGCCGGGCUGGACGGGACGGCCAGCCCGCACACUGCCACCUCUUUCUACAGCCCCAGGUUCUUACUUGCCCCACUUGAGCUCCCCCCACCCCACCCCACCCCACCGCCCCACGUUUACAGCUAUUCUUUCGCAGGGUCAGGACCUGCGGGAGUUGCGUAGACACGUGCAUGCCGAGGCCUCCGACUUCCUUGCCGUGAAGAAGCUGGUACAGUGCUCGUUCCCACCCUGCACCUGCACCCAUGCCCAACAGCCCCCAGAGCAGGAGGGAGCCAAGAGCCAAGAGAGGCCUGUGACCGUGUCCCCGAGCGAGGCCGAGCAAGCCAGCAACAAAGGCCUAGCCCAGUGCCUGGGUCAUGAGCGGGCACUCCCAGUGCAGCCGCUGGUGCAGGCCCUGGACAUGCCUGAG
RNAcentral lists this long non-coding RNA (1497 nucleotides) under Lynx pardinus (Iberian lynx). The record is from RNAcentral. Lineage: Eukaryota; Metazoa; Chordata; Mammalia; Carnivora; Felidae.